Molecule: long non-coding RNA, 418 nt
Filed under: Homo sapiens (human)
Lineage: Eukaryota; Metazoa; Chordata; Mammalia; Primates; Hominidae
Description: HSALNT0285006
Source: RNAcentral
CAAGGACUUAUAUUUACUCAGUUCAUCCAAUAUCAAUUAUUAUAAUAAUCAACAGUGUAAAUUGGAAAGUAACUACGUGGAAACCACUUCUCCUUCUUUCCCAUCUAAGGUCUCAGAAGAGGGGAAAUGACUCACCUAAGGCCUUAUAAUGGGCCUGCCCCGCCAUGUUCUAUUGCAUUGUUUUUCUGCAAAGCCUCAUCUUGCGGGGUUACACUAUACAUAUUUUUCCUCUCUUUUCGUUUUACCAAAGAGAAAAAUAUAUACUUUUUUACUGUUAAGAAACAUUUUCUCAAAUAAGUACGUAUUUCAUUCCUUACUGAAAUGGUUUUUUCUUAUUGAUCCAUUGAAACCAUAUUGGCUAUGUUCAACAUAACUAGAGAUAUCUUUGGUGUUUUCCUCCCUUAGCUUCAUAUCUUGU